Molecule: ribosomal RNA, 308 nt
Filed under: uncultured archaeon
Lineage: Archaea
Description: bacterial SSU rRNA
Rfam family: Archaeal small subunit ribosomal RNA
Source: RNAcentral
GGACCCGACUGCUAUCAAAGUGGGACUAACCCAUGCGAGUCAACAUAGCAAUAUGUGGCAUACGGCUCAUUAACACGUAUUCAACAUGCCCAGGGGACGUGAAUAACCUCGGGAAACUGAGGAUAAACCGCGAUAGGUCAUCACUUCUGGAAUGGGUAAUGACUUAAAUCUAUAUGGCCCCUGGAUUGGACUGCGGCCAAUCAGGCUGUUGGUGAGGUAAUGGCCCACCAAACCUGUAACCGGUACGGGCUCUGAAAGGAGGAGCCCGGAAAUGGGCACUGAAACAAGGGCCCAGGCCCUAUGGGGCA